AAUCUUCCACAAUGGACGAUAGUCUGUUGGAGCUACGCCGCGUGCGUGAAGAAGGUUUUUGGAUCGUAUUACUCUGUUGUAAGUGAAGAACAAUUACAGUAGUAACUGGCUGUACCUUGACGGUACCUUAUUGGAAAGCCACGGCUACCUACGUGCCAGCAGCCGCGGUAAUACGUAGGUGGCAAGCGUUGUCCGGAAUUAUUGGGCGUAAAGCGCGCGCAGGCGGUUCUUUAAGUCUGAUGUGAAAGCCCACGGCUCAACCGUGGAGGGUCAUUGGAAACUGGAGGACUUGAGUGCAGAAGAGGAAAGUGGAAUUCCAAGUGUAGCGGUGAAAUGCGUAGAGAUUUGGAGGAACACCAGUGGCGAAGGCGACUUUCUGGUCUGUAACUGACGCUGAGGCGCGAAAGCGUGGGGAGCAAACAGG
Molecule: ribosomal RNA, 424 nt
Filed under: uncultured bacterium
Lineage: Bacteria
Description: partial 16S ribosomal RNA
Rfam family: Bacterial small subunit ribosomal RNA
Source: RNAcentral